UACAGAGACUGCAAGUGUUAUUCGGAUUCAUUGGGCGUAAAGGGCGCGUAGGCGGCGGGGUAAGUCUGGUGUGAAAUCUCGGAGCUCAACUCCGAAACUGCACUGGAUACUGCUCUGCUAGAGGGCUGGAGAGGAGAUCGGAAUUCACGGUGUAGCAGUGAAAUGCGUAGAUAUCGUGAGGAAGACCAGUGGCGAAGGCGGAUCUCUGGACAGCUCCUGACGCUGAGGCGCGAAGGCUAGGGGAGCAAACGGG
This 253-nucleotide ribosomal RNA is filed under the name uncultured bacterium. Its description in RNAcentral is "partial 16S ribosomal RNA". It matches the Rfam family "Bacterial small subunit ribosomal RNA", at positions 524 to 776 of the family's 1533-position model. The record is from RNAcentral.